GGUUGUUUGGCCGAGCGGUCUAAGGCGCCUGAUUCAAGAUAACUCAUCUUGACACUGAUAACAGUGGAACACUCAGGUAUCGUAAGAUGCAAGAGUUCGAAUCUCUUAGCAACCA
Non-coding RNA from Lachancea thermotolerans CBS 6340, 115 nucleotides. The record is from Rfam. Lineage: Eukaryota; Fungi; Ascomycota; Saccharomycetes; Saccharomycetales; Saccharomycetaceae.